AUGAACGCUGGCGGCGUGCCUAACACAUGCAAGUCGAACGAGAAAGGUAGCAAUACCGAGUACAGUGGCGCACGGGUGAGUAAUGCAUAGGAAUCUGCCUUUUAGUGGAGAAUACCCUAGAGAAAUUUAGGUUAAUACUGCAUAAUCCGGUAACGGGAAAGGGGGCCUCAAGCUCCCGCUGAAAGAUGAGCCUAUGUUCUAUUAGCUAGUUGGUAGGGUAAAAGCCUACCAAGGCGAAGAUGGAUAGUCGGCCUGAGAGGGUGUACGACCACACUGGAACUGAGACACGGUCCAGACUCCUACGGGAGGCAGCAGUGGGGAAUAUUGCACAAUGGGCGCAAGCCUGAUGCAGCGACGCCGCGUGGAGGAUGAAGGUUUUCGGAUUGUAAACUCCUGUUAAGUGGGAAGAAAGACGCCGACCUAAUACGUCGGUGGGAUGACGGUACCACUAGAGAAAGCACCGGCAAACUUCGU
RNAcentral lists this ribosomal RNA (474 nucleotides) under uncultured bacterium. RNAcentral's name for it is "bacterial SSU rRNA". It matches the Rfam family "Bacterial small subunit ribosomal RNA", at positions 29 to 506 of the family's 1533-position model. The record is from RNAcentral.